Molecule: ribosomal RNA, 833 nt
Filed under: uncultured bacterium
Lineage: Bacteria
Description: bacterial SSU rRNA
Rfam family: Bacterial small subunit ribosomal RNA
Source: RNAcentral
AGAGUUUGAUCCUGGCUCAGGACGAACGCUGGCGGCGUGCUUAACACAUGCAAGUCGAACGGAGAGCGAUGGAAGCUUGCUUCUAUCAAUCUUAGUGGCGAACGGGUGAGUAACGCGUAACCAACCUGCCCUUCAGAGGGGGAUAACAACGGGAAACCGUUGCUAAUACCGCGUACGAUUAAGCUUCGGCAUCGAAGCUUAAUGAAAGGUGGCCUCUAUGUAUAAGCUAUCGCUGAAGGAGGGGGUUGCGUCUGAUUAGCUAGUUGGAGGGGUAACGGCCCACCAAGGCAAUGAUCAGUAGCCGGUCUGAGAGGAUGAACGGCCACAUUGGGACUGAGACACGGCCCAAACUCCUACGGGAGGCAGCAGUAGGGAAUCUUCCACAAUGGACGCAAGUCUGAUGGAGCAACGCCGCGUGAGUGAAGAAGGGUUUCGGCUCGUAAAGCUCUGUUGGUAGUGAAGAAAGAUAGAGGUAGUAACUGGCCUUUAUUUGACGGUAAUUACCUAGAAAGUCACGGCUAACUACGUGCCAGCAGCCGCGGUAAUACGUAGGUGGCAAGCGUUGUCCGGAUUUAUUGGGCGUAAAGCGAGUGCAGGCGGUUCAAUAAGUCUGAAGUGAAAGCCUUCGGCUCAACCGGAGAAUUGCAUCAGAAACUGUUGAACUUGAGUGCAGAAGAGGAGAGUGGAACUCCAUGUGUAGCGGUGGAAUGCGUAGAUAUAUGGAAGAACACCAGUGGCGAAAGCGGCUCUCUGGUCUGUAACUGACGCUGAGGUUCGAAAGCGUGGGUAGCAAACAGGAUUAGAUACCCUGGUAGUCCACACCGUAAACGAUG